Molecule: long non-coding RNA, 3998 nt
Organism: Amphiprion ocellaris (clown anemonefish)
Lineage: Eukaryota; Metazoa; Chordata; Actinopteri; Pomacentridae
Exons: 3
Source: RefSeq, a predicted model, not a curated record
UGUACAGCAUUUUUCCAAAUUCCUACUGAUGUUACUCUAUUUACUAUAGAUAUUCUGCUACUAACAUUUUUAUUUCUGUUUCCAAACCUGUCUCCUUUCUGAUCCGUGUAAACACAGCCUGCAGUUCAGCCGAAUAAAUCCCUGUAUUUUUAAUAACAUGAUUCUUGGCUGUAGCCGAGUCAUUUCCAGCUUCUUUGUUGCGUCUGGGAGAGCAAUUUUUUUUGUUUUUACAGAAUUUGAAUAAACCAAAUUGGAUAAUUUUAACGGAUUUUCAAUUGACUUAUGUAGAAGAAAAUGUUGAGCAUCACGUUGCAUGUGAGUAGUUCUGGUUUUACAGCUUCUUGUUCAAAUAAAUGGUGGAAUUUUGGUGAUUUUUAAAAAGAUAACAAGACUUUAAUGUCCGAUAGCAAGUUUUUGGGUUCAGAGAGUUCAGUAUUCUCUUCAAAAUAUACUUCCAAAGUGUCUAGUGUUGAAUUAAACAUAUUUCUGAUGUUGAAACUGAGUGUUUUAGUGCCAAUAACUCAACAUACUGUGUCAGUAUUAGUUCAUGUUGUAAUUUGUUGAUGUCUACCACAGUAAAAUGGAAGGUUUUUUCCUCUAAACUGUUCUUAAUUCUGAUUUUUCUGUAGAUUUAUGUGUUGUAUGUCAUUGCAUUCCACCUGUCUGAUUUGGUAGAAUUUAAAUUGGCGCCUCAUGCAUCAAAUAUCUCAACCUGUUUUCAUGCAGAUUAAGUCCUGAGCCAGUCCCAGCAUGCAGAAUCCUCACAGAUAAACAUAUUUACAUCAAUUUGCAGUUUCCAGUUCACUAAACCUGAAUUUUUUUGACCUUUGGGAGGAAAACAAGUCGAAACAAACUCGUUCCAAACCCAGGAAUGCCUCCAGUUCGAGAAGCGUGGAGUUCAACGAGGCGCCGUUCUGCUGGAACCUCCCAACAUCAGCAAACACGACAUGAACAUCUGCAACAAAAGCUAAUCAGCAGUGGCAGAAGAAGAGUUGGAUUUCUUGGGAAAGUGUGCUGCAGAAGUGGACGUCUGUCAGGUAGCUUUUACCUGAGCUCAAGUACGAACCUGCUACCUGGAGGCGCAGCCAAUCAGAGCGCAGGACGGGGCUGGCGGUCCAAUCAGGUGCAAGGAGGGAGGCGGGACUCACCUGAGAGACCCCAUUGAAUAAACAUCAGGAGUCACACAGGAGCUGAUUUUAAAGACAGUGAUGGAAUUAUGAAUGGUGCACAUGAAAACACAAGAUUCCACAUUUCAUGACAAAGUCUGGGUCAUACAAGUAACAACAGCAGCAAAUAUGAAUUAUGAAUUCAUCUGAAUCACAGAUUAAGAUCAUGCAUGACGAGGAAAUCAAGCUUUUCUGGAGUCACCAUUAAGAUACUAGAUGGGAUUCAUUGCUUUUUGAAGUUUAACCACGUGAGUAUUCUGGGUUCCUGUGCAGUGGAGUGUUUUUUUUUUAUAUAAUAUUUAAUAAUAUACAUGAUAUUUUUUAUGAUAUUAAAAGCAAAAUAUUUUGCUGUCACAUUUUUGACUGUAGUUUCUAGAACCAUGUGCUGUCAUUUUACAUAUUGUCUCCGUUUUGAUAAAUUGAAGAUGAUGUUAAUUUAAAUCACAGAAAAAAAGCAUUCAUCUAUUUCAGGGGUGUCCAACAUGAGGCCAGUGGGCCAAAGGCGGCCCUCCAGAGGGUCCAAUCCGGUCCUCAAAGUGUAAAAAUUCCAGAGAAGACAUUAACUGCAGAUUGUAAACUAGUAAAACUAUAAAUUUAAAAUCAUUUCUAGACGAUGACAAGUUGUUUGGAUCAUAAAGUAAAAUACUAGAUUGAUCAUUGUUCUUUUGUCGUGUCUCCUUGUCUCAUUUUUGUAAUAUUUUGUCUUUUUUGUCUUUUUUGUCUUUCAGCUCACGUUUUUGUCGUUUUGUGUUUCUUUUUUGUCUCGCUUGUGUUUUUUUGUCUUAUUUUUGUCUUUUUGUGUUUUUUUGUGCUUUAUUCAUUGUUUAGUGUGUCGUUUUGGGUUUUCUUGUCUCGUUUUUGUCGAUUGUCCAUUGUUCUGUUGCUUUGUAACUUUUUCUCUCUUUUUUGUUUUAUUUCGUGUCGUUUGUCUCGUUUUUGAUGUUUUGUGUCGCAGUGUUUUGUCUUGUUUUUGCUGUUUUUUCGUCUUUUUUAUCUGACUUUUUGUCGUUUUGAUCAUACAGUAAAACUGGUCCGGUCCACUGGAGAUCAAACUGGGCUGAAUGUGGAACCUGAACUAAAAUGAGUCUGAUGAUCCUGAUCUAUGUGUUAUAUUUGACCACAACACUGGACUUUUCUCAGCAAGUUUUAGGCUGACAGGAUGCUGAUGAAGCUCUUCUACUGCUCCUUUAUCCAGUCAGUUAUCUCGUUUUCCAUCACAUGCUGGUAUGGUAACCAUGGCAACAAGGACAAGAACUCCCUCAGGAGGACAGUAAAAGUAGCUUCUAGUUGGGUGUGUUUUAACAUCUUGAAGACGUUUUUAAUACAGAAGUUAUAAGAAAAGCAGAGUUUUUUCUUAUGGAUGCUCCUUAUCCUCUGGCCUUCGUCUGGCAGGAACCCAGGACACAAAAAACAGGUCCCAGUUCUCCUUAGUGCCUCCAUCCGAGCUCUAAAUGCUGAGAAGAGGAGGUAAUAAACUGUUUUUCCUUUCUUCUGUCCUGCUGCUGCUGCUGCUGACUGAACGACUGAACUCCACCUGACUAAAGGAAUGAUUGCUGCUAAUGUCCGUCUACCUAAUGAUUCAUGCGAUAUUUUAUUGUUUUUAUUCUGUUUUUACAGUUUUGUUUUUUUAAUUUGAAAACAUUUUUUCUAUUUAGUUGUUUAUUGUUUUUAUUGUUUGUUUGUUGUGAACACUCGUGGAAGCUGCUGCAGAACAAAUCACCCUUCAAGGGACAAAUAAUAAAGGUGAAGGUUGUUUUUCUUAGAAUUUGACGAGUCGUUUUACAGAUUUUCCUCAGUUUUCUAAAUGACAGAUAAUGUCCAGCAAAACACAGAAGAAAAGGAUAAAUUUACUUCCUAACUGUAAAAAACAUCCAUUAUCCAUCCAUUAUCUAUACACCACUUAAUCCUCACUAGGGUCAUGGGGGGGGCUGGAGCCUAUCCCAGCUGACUCAGGUGAAGGCAGGGGACACCCUAGACAGGUCACCAGUCUGUCACAGGGCUACAUACAGAGACAAACAAUCACUCUCACAUUCACACCUACGGGCAAUUUAGAAUGAUCAAUUAACCUCAGCAUGUUUUUGGACUGUGGGAGGAAGCCGGAGUACCCGGAGAAAACCCACGCAUGCACAGGGAGAACAUGCAAACUCCAUGCAGAAAGAUCCUGGGAAAGCCGGGACGUGAACCAGGGAUCUUCUAGCUGCAAGGCGAAAGUGCUAACCACUACACCACUGUGCAGCCCCCUGUAAAAAACAAACAAACAAAAACCAAACAGACUGUCAAUAACAUCCAAAUCAAGAAUCUGUUCAAAAAAUUUAAUCAUGCUGUUUUGCUGUAUUCAAAUGUAAAUAUUAUUUUACAAAUUUUGUCAUUUUUGUGAGAAAAUGUAUGAAAAUUAAGGAUUGAGAUUUGGUUCAUAUUUUUUUUUUCAUUUAUGAAUUUUUUUUACAGAGUUUCUCCAUUUAUUUAAAUUACAGAUAAUAUCUGUGAAUUUACAUGUUAACUUUAAAACAUUAAUAAAAACAUUAGGUGCCGUUGUUUCGCUGUAUCCAGAUCUUAGACUCUAUCUGCCAUUAUUUCAAAGAAAAUGAAUGUGUUUUGAGGAUUUCAGAUGGUAAAUCUUUUUUUGGAGAUUUUUUCCAUUUUGUUAAUUUACAGAUGAUAUUUACAAAUGUAAAAAAAAAAAAAAAUUGUAAUUUACAUGUUAACUGUAAAAAAGAAAAAGAAAGAAAAGAAAAAUAGAUAAAAACUGUCAAUGAUGUUUGCAUCAAAAUGCUGGAAUUAUGUAAUUAUUUUACAGAUAUUUGUUCUUUCUUUCUUUCUUUAACUCUACAG